RNAcentral lists this ribosomal RNA (58 nucleotides) under Ophiocaryon sp. US:Redden3995. RNAcentral's name for it is "partial 5.8S ribosomal RNA". The record is from RNAcentral. Lineage: Eukaryota; Viridiplantae; Streptophyta; Magnoliopsida; Proteales; Sabiaceae.
GAACGCAAGUUGCGCCCUAGGCCCUACGGUCGAGGGCACGCCUGCCUGGGCGUCACGC